UGGGAAUUUUGGACAAUGGGCGAAAGCCUGAUCCAGCCAUGCCGCGUGCAGGAUGAAGGCCUUCGGGUUGUAAACUGCUUUUGUACGGAACGAAAAGCCUCUUUCUAAUAAAGAGGGGUCAUGACGGUACCGUAAGAAUAAGCACCGGCUAACUACGUGCCAGCAGCCGCGGUAAUACGUAGGGUGCAAGCGUUAAUCGGAAUUACUGGGCGUAAAGCGUGCGCAGGCGGUUCUGUAAGACAGAGGUGAAAUCCCCGGGCUCAACCUGGGAAUUGCCUUUGUGACUGCAAGGCUGGAGUGCGGCAGAGGGGGAUGGAAUUCCGCGUGUAGCAGUGAAAUGCGUAGAUAUGCGGAGGAACACCGAUGGCGAAGGCAAUCCCCUGGGCCUGCACUGACGCUCAUGCACGAAAAGCGUGGGGAGCAAACAGGAUUAGAUACCCUGGUAGUCCACGCCCUAAACGAUGUCAACUGGUUGUUGGGUCUUCACUGACUCAGUAACGAAGCUAACGCGUGAAGUUGACCGCCUGGGGAGUAC
RNAcentral lists this ribosomal RNA (535 nucleotides) under uncultured bacterium. RNAcentral describes it as "partial 16S ribosomal RNA". It matches the Rfam family "Bacterial small subunit ribosomal RNA", at positions 356 to 883 of the family's 1533-position model. The record is from RNAcentral.